Long non-coding RNA from Malus domestica (apple), 952 nucleotides. RefSeq lists it as uncharacterized. The record is from RefSeq and is a predicted model, not a curated record. Lineage: Eukaryota; Viridiplantae; Streptophyta; Magnoliopsida; Rosales; Rosaceae.
UUUUAACCAUUAGUGAAUACGAACCUAAUAUAUAGAUGGAUCUUUUGGACGACACGAUUGUUGCACCAACGAUAGAAACUUGAGUUGAAUCCACCAGUUUCUUCAAUGUUAGAGUGGGAUGGGAAGGUGAUGAAGAUCAGCCACAAUAAAGUCACUUCUUUGUGCACUAAAUGCAAGUGACUGGCAAGAUUGUCCUAGGAGUGGACAUGUUGAACUGACUUUGGAAUUGGAAUAGAGAACUUCGGAUCUGCCCAAAUAUCUCUAAGGAUCACUGCCUUUUGCCUUGAUUUUGAUUUCAUUUUGUUGAAAACAAAAAGCCUGUAAGAGUUUUCAAUCAAGGAUCUAAACCAAUGAAAUAAUUGUAGUCACUUGUAUUUAAUUUGUUUAGAUCCUUGAUUGAAAACUCUUACAUGUGGUAUCAGAGCCACCAAUUAAAUCUUGAACGGUGCCGUUUGUCUUUUGGGUAUAAAAGAUUGAAACUUUUUCCGCUGCGUUCUUCUUCAUUUCUGCUUCGAACAUGGUGACUACUCAAAGUUUCAUUUCUAACUCUUUGUUCAUGUAAAGUUGCUAGAAGUUGAUUUGCUUUCUUUAUUACGAUUGUUGCUAUAAAAAUCUUGAUUCAUCAAACUUCUCCAAAGUUGAUUCGAAUCGAGGUCUCAAUAUUUUGAAUCUCAUCAAUAUUGAGAAAUUGAAUGAGAACAACUUCAAAACAUGAAAGCAACAAAUUGACAUGAAUCUAGGACUUUUGGAUUUUGCCAUUGCUUUCAAGCAGCCUAAGCCACAUGCCUUGCCUACCAAGAUUACAAAAGAAAAUAAAUAUGCAUUUGAAAAAUGGGAGAGAGCAAAUGAAAUGUCCCUGCUUAUUAUGCAAAAUGCUAUGGAGGAACAUAUUAAAGGAGGCAUACCUUCAUGUGAUUUGGCUAAGGAUCAUUUGACAGCUAUUGAGGAAAAA